Molecule: long non-coding RNA, 362 nt
Filed under: Mus spicilegus (steppe mouse)
Lineage: Eukaryota; Metazoa; Chordata; Mammalia; Rodentia; Muridae
Description: lncRNA (ENSMSIG00000015732.1)
Source: RNAcentral
GUUGCCUUUCAGCAAAGAUGAUCCUGUUUCUCUUUCCUCUAGCCCAUGCCAGAGAUGAACCCAGGGUUUCCUACAUGGAUGUGUUCUACCACCAUACCACAGGCUGUUUCAAGCAAGAACAAGAAUGCUUUUCCUUCUGCAGGCCUGCGAAGGCUGAUCACAGAAAUGCAGGUGCACCGGAUGGGAGAGAGCCCAAAGGAUUUCAGAAGGCAGAGAGUGCUUUCAGGGCAAGGAAGUAGCUUUGGUGGGAUGAAAAGAUUUAUUUGCACAAAAUAAGACAUCUUCUCAAAUUUAUUUGGAAUAACAAAAACCCAGGAUAGAGAAAACUAUUCUCAACAAUAAAAGAACUUCUGGGGGAAUCA